Molecule: ribosomal RNA, 366 nt
Filed under: uncultured Borrelia sp.
Lineage: Bacteria; Pseudomonadati; Spirochaetota; Spirochaetia; Spirochaetales; Borreliaceae
Description: bacterial SSU rRNA
Rfam family: Bacterial small subunit ribosomal RNA
Source: RNAcentral
UGAGGAAUAAGCUUUGUAGGUGAGGAAUAAGCUUUGUAGGAAAUGACAAAGCGAUGACGUUAAUUUAUGAAUAAGCCCCGGCUAAUUACGUGCCAGCAGCCGCGGUAAUACGUAAGGGGCGAGCGUUGUUCGGGAUCAUUGGGCGUAAAGGGUGAGUAGGCGGAUAUGCAAGUCUAUGUGUCACAUGCCACAGCUCAGCUGUGGAACUAUGCUGGAAACUGCAUGACUAGAGUCUGAUAGGGGAAGUUAGAAUUCCUGGUGUAAGGGUGGAAUCUGUUGAUAUCAGGAAGAAUACCAGAGGCGAAGGCCAACUUCUCCGACAAGACUGACGCUGACUCACAAAAGCAACGCUGAGUCACGAAAGCA